GCCGGGAUAGCUCAGUUGGUAGAGCAAAAGACUGAAAAUCCUCGUGUC
RNAcentral lists this transfer RNA (48 nucleotides) under Leptocarpus coangustatus. RNAcentral's name for it is "partial tRNA-Phe". The record is from RNAcentral. Lineage: Eukaryota; Viridiplantae; Streptophyta; Magnoliopsida; Poales; Restionaceae.